GUCGAUAUGCCGGAGUGGUUAACGGGUGUGACUAGAAAUCACAUGGGCUCUGCCCGCACAGGUUCAAAUCCUGUUGUCGACG
This 82-nucleotide transfer RNA is filed under the name Apophysomyces ossiformis. It matches the Rfam family "tRNA". From Rfam's summary of the family: Transfer RNA (tRNA) molecules are approximately 80 nucleotides in length. Lineage: Eukaryota; Fungi; Mucoromycota; Mucoromycetes; Mucorales; Mucoraceae. The record is from Rfam by way of RNAcentral.